AGGGUUUGAUCCUGGCUCAGGGUGAACGCUGGCGGCGUGGAUUAGGCAUGCAAGUCGAGCGAUCCUUGCUAUUGAUGUAGAUUGAGAUCUUCGGAUCAAUGUCUGCUGAUAUAGCGCUGGAUAGCGGCAAACGGGUGAGUAACACGUGGAUAACGUACCUUGAGGAAGGGCAUAGCCUAUCGAAAGGUGGGGUAAUUUCCUGUGGUCCUUUUAGCCUGGAAUGGCUAGAAGGUAAAGAUGGCCUCUACUUGUAAGCUAUCACCUUAAGAACGGUCCGCGUUCUAUCAGGUAGUUGGUAGGGUAAGAGCCUACCAAGCCUAAGACGGAUAGCUGGCUUGAGAGAGUGGUCAGCCACAUCGGGACUGAGACACUGCCCGGACUUCUACGGAAGGCUGCAGUCGAGAAUCUUUCUCAAUGGGCGAAAGCCUGAAGAUGCGACGUCGCGUGGAGGAUGAAGGUUUUCGGAUUGUAAACUCCUUUUAUCAGGGAGGAACAUUUAAAGGUGAAUAAUCUUUAAAUUUGACUGUACCUGUUGAAUAAGCCACGGCUAACUCCGUGCCAGCAGCCGCGGUAAUACGGGGGUGGCGAGCGUUACUCGGUUUGACUGGGUGUAAAGGGUCUGCAGGCGGUUUAUUAAGUGAAAGGUGAAAUCCUUCGGCUUAACCGGAGAAUUGCCUUUUAAACUAUUAAACUCGAGGAUGGGAGAAGAGAGCGGAACUGUCAGUGUAAGGGUGAAAUCUGUGGAUAUUGACAGGAACGCCAGUGGAGUAGUCGGCUCUCUAGUCCAUUCCUGACGCUCAUAGACGAAAGCUAGGGUAGCGAACAGGAUUAGAUACCCUGGUAGUCCUAGCUGUAAACGAUGGGCACUAGGUGCUUGCUUUUUUGUGGGUGCCGCAGCUAACGCGUUAAGUGCCCCACCUGGGGACUACGGCCGCAAGGCUAAAACUCAAAGGAAUUGACGGGGGCCCGCACAAGCGGUGGAACGCGUGGUUUAAUUCGAUGCUACGCGAGGAACCUUACCAGGGCUUGACAUGCUAGAAGUAGUAUCCCGAAAGGGAGUCCGACUGGUAUCCAAUCCAGAACUAGCACAGGUGCUGCAUGGUUGUCGUCAGCUCGUGCCGUGAGGUGUUCCCUUAAGUGGGAAAACGAGCGCAACCCUCGCCUUUUGUUGCCACUCAUAGUCUUUGAUUAUGAAGCACUCUAAAGGGACUGCCCGCGUUAAGUGGGAGGAAGGUGGGGACGACGUCAAGUCAGCAUGGCCCUUACGUCCUGGGCUACAUACGUGUUACAAUGCCUGAUACAAUGGGACGCUAAGCCGUGAGGUGGAGCAAAUCCCAUAAAAUCAGGCUCAGUUCGGAUCGAAGGCUGCAACUCGCCUUCGUGAAGCUGGAAUCGCUAGUAAUGGCGCACCAGCAACGGCGCCGUGAAUACGUUCCCGGGCCUUGUACACACCGCCCGUCAAGCGCUGAAAGUGGGGGGCGCCCAAAGACUAGUUUUAUACUGGUUUACGGUGAAUUUCAUGAUUGGCGCUAAGUCGAAACAAGGUA
RNAcentral lists this ribosomal RNA (1547 nucleotides) under metagenome. Its description in RNAcentral is "bacterial SSU rRNA". It matches the Rfam family "Bacterial small subunit ribosomal RNA". The record is from RNAcentral.